UAUGGUUAAAUCUCCGUUUACGAAAUAAGAAUCUAAUUUCCCAGUUUAUUGCAAUACCUUGAAAACAAUGAAAUAGGAAACGCUACAAUACUGUAUACCAUUCAAAAAGUAAGAGUAAUGUCAAUUAUCGAGCUAACGUCAUCAUUAAGACGUCAGCCAAUCCAUAAAGGAUCAAUAUAAAAGCAAACUGAGCAUACCUGAGAUUAAGUGGCAGUUAUUCUUGUAUCACUAUUUUCUUUUUAUUUAGAAUGAUUUUAUAUUUUAUAACAAAGAAAUUUAUCAUUUGUUCAGAAUGUUUUUUCAAAUAUAAACAAAUAAUUUGUGAACUAAGAACAAUUUCUACAUGAUUAUAAAGAUUAUAAAGAUCUAUAUCAUUCAUGUCAUGUCAUUUAAGACAAUCAAAUAUAUAUUGAAACUAUAUAUUGAAAAUAUCACUCUGGCGCGUGACAAACUUACGACGUCGUCAUCCUCGAUUUCUGGCAGACAAUCACUUGACGCAAAUCUAAUGCGUAAAUUUACUUCAAAGCUUACUUUAAAAUCGAUCCAUCGAUAUGUCGAACGAAUUGAUUUAUAGCGUCCCCGACUUUCUGUGUCAAAUUAUUGAUCAAAAAUAAACUAUCGAUUGAAACGAUGUCAAUUGAAGAAAGAUUGGAGAAGAAUUGCACGAUCGAACAUUUAUGACAUAUAAUAUAUGUAUAAUUAUUCCGCCAUUUGUCAAUGAAGCAUUGGUUUCAAAACUGGUUGCGGAAUAGGAUUUCAAAGCGAUUUCAAGUGGAAAUUCGAAAUACGAAUAAAAUUACACAUAUAAUCAAAGGAUAUUAUGUCGAAAUAUUUAACGUUUUCGAACAUUUAACCUAACCUAAUCUAAAUGCGGAAUUUGUCACUAUAGUCUUCGCGAAUAUCAAUCACAAAUAUGGCAAUAAUCCUCUCAUGAGUUUUCAGAUGAAUGUGUUUUUGCAAAUGUGUGAUAUAAAAAAUUCGUUUUUUUUUGUA
Molecule: long non-coding RNA, 993 nt
Organism: Apis cerana (Asiatic honeybee)
Lineage: Eukaryota; Metazoa; Arthropoda; Insecta; Hymenoptera; Apidae
Source: RefSeq, a predicted model, not a curated record